RNAcentral lists this unclassified non-coding RNA (249 nucleotides) under Hevea brasiliensis (rubber tree). Lineage: Eukaryota; Viridiplantae; Streptophyta; Magnoliopsida; Malpighiales; Euphorbiaceae. The record is from RNAcentral.
AUGAAAUUCUACUACUGCAUAUGAGAUAUAAUGACAAUAUACAAAGAAAAAUUCUCAAAUUACUAAGGAAAAUUUUGCCACAAUGAAACCUAUUUAAUCGAUAGAAGAUAUAUAAAUUUGCCCUCUUGUUUCUUAUAUUCAUGUGUUCUACAUGAUUUCUCAAAUAUUAGUUCCUUUCAGGUAGAUUCCUUGGGGUUUGAUUUGGAUCCACCAGGUAUUGUAUGUCCUAAAGGUAAUGCAAUUAAGUGA